GCCGGCGUAGCUCAGCUGGUAGAGCAGCGGUUUUGUAAACCGCUGGUCGGGGGUUCGAUUCCUCUCGCCGGCU
This 73-nucleotide transfer RNA is filed under the name bacterium. Its description in RNAcentral is "tRNA-Thr". It matches the Rfam family "tRNA". From Rfam's summary of the family: Transfer RNA (tRNA) molecules are approximately 80 nucleotides in length. Their secondary structure includes four short double-helical elements and three loops (D, anti-codon, and T loops). The record is from RNAcentral. RNAcentral also lists the same sequence under 5 other names.